Limanda limanda (common dab) is the source of this 1840-nucleotide long non-coding RNA. RefSeq lists it as uncharacterized. The record is from RefSeq and is a predicted model, not a curated record. The transcript is spliced from 2 exons. Lineage: Eukaryota; Metazoa; Chordata; Actinopteri; Pleuronectiformes; Pleuronectidae.
GUUAUAACGGCUCACACACAGACAGACACAGACACGAUUCCCUAACAGCAGCACACUAACAAAAGGAUGAUGAGGAUGUCAGGAAGAGUCAUGAGUUGCUGUGCAGCUCUGUUCCUUGCACUGGUAUCUGUGUCAGCUAUAGAAAGACUCAGAACAAUGAAUGAUUUGAAGAAAAUCAACUUUGGUCAAUCUGUGCCCAAACAUACUCUCCUACUUCUCCACUGGUUUGCCAACGAAGUUGAUAUCGACAGCAACAACAUCAUACGGUUGACCUUUGACCCAAACAAUGAUGAUUUUGGAUCACAUCAUUAUGGCAACUUUGAGGGGAUGCUGGAGCCACCGCCUCGGGGUUACCGGUACUACACUGUUGGCAAUCUCCUUCCAGACGAAGGUGAACAACUUCCAGAUUACGUCGCCCAUCCCCGGGCAGAGUAUGCGGGAAGAAACCUGGACCGAAUCGUGUUCAGUGUCAGGCUGCAGAACACAGGACAGCAACUGAUAGAUCAAGUGUACAUCACACAGCAUUAUGGCAUCCAUGGAAAUACGACAUAUAAUCCUGAGCAUACCUAUGAGAUCACGACAAACCUCCUGAGAACAAUCCGAAAGUUUUCAGUGGGAGCAAACCAGUCACUGAGGAUUCUCAGAAAUCGUUAUGGAAGUAACACUAGUGAUUUCCAGUUAUCAGAAAUCAGAAACCUAUGGGGGAACCUUGCUUGUCUUGGACUGCUGUUGUUUAUUGUGAUCGAGGAAAGGUACAACUUUGACCAACAAAGUGCCCGCCUUCAGAGUGGGUCAACAGGAGGAAACAGGGUUGUGACACAACCUUGUAUCCCUCAUAACAAUUUCCAAGGCCCCAGAUCAAAUUGGUGGUAUUGUGAAACAUGCAGUCUCAUUUUUGUGCUUAUAUGUAUUGUCUUUGCCAUUCUUGAUUCCCUCAGGUAUUUCAAUGGUAGAAGAUAAAAAAAUAAAUAAAACGAAACAUACAAUAAGCAAUAUUACUUUUAAGAUGAUUUGGAAUCAAGCAGUUAAGACUGAUCAAUGGACCUGGAUAAGGGCUAAUUCUAAAAGCUGGUGUAUGCUCUGCUUUGCUUUCAUGUUCAUUUAAGUGGUGCUACAUUAUUUUCUUAACACUGUUCUGGUAAAUAUUGAGAUAGAGGUUGUGUUCAUGGACCAAAUCACAGAGAGUCUUCAGGGUGUCACUACAGGUCAGCACAAUUUAGGCUAAAGUACCAACAUAAAAACUAUCUGAUCAGAUCUUAACAAAAUGUAGACAUAAGUUAAAGACAGUGGUGUGAUGUUAGUUCAGAUUAAAACCAGCGUAUUAAAAUUUAAUUGGAAAGAAUCUUGCUUGCCUGGAAAAAUUACAGAACAAAAGAUUAAGGACAUAUUUUACAUUUAUUAGACCAAGAAGUGUGGUCCAAGGGGUUCUACUUAAAAAAAAUAAACCACACCUAGUUAAUUACAGCACAAACUUUUUUAAAAUAACUAUUUGUGUACAUAGUAAGGCAUUAUACUGGUCUUAACGCUUCAGGCUUAAUUCAUAUUCAAUGUCAUGCUCCAGCACGUCUAAUCGAAUAGUGGUGACUCACUGUUCUUUCAUACGUGUUCCCUAGAGAUGAAGAGAAAGUAAAUAGCUCUGAUGCAAAGAUGAGAUCCACAAGUGAAAGGAUUGAUGGCGUGUUAAGCAUAGCUCACAUUGAUAAUGUAUUAGCAUUAAAAAAAAAAAUAGACUUAUAUUUGAAAUAUGGUUUUGUAUUCUUGCUAUAAUAUUGUAAAUGGGGUGUUGAUUGAAUACACACUGCUGUUUGUUUGGUGUGUAAAUAAAAGGUUUAAAAGACAA